Molecule: ribosomal RNA, 548 nt
Filed under: uncultured bacterium
Lineage: Bacteria
Description: bacterial SSU rRNA
Rfam family: Bacterial small subunit ribosomal RNA
Source: RNAcentral
UAGAGUUUGAUCAUGGCUCAGGACGAACGCUGGCGGCGUGGAUUAGGCAUGCAAGUCGAACGCGAAAGAGGGAGCAAUCCCUCGAGUAGAGUGGCGAACGGGUGAGUAACGCGUGAGAAACCUGCCUUCAACAGGGGGAUAACACUCCCAACGGGGUGCUAAUACCGCAUGAGACCACGGGAUCGCAUGGUCCUGAGGUCAAAGGUGGCCUCUAUUUAUAAGCUACCGGUUGAAGAUGGUCUCGCGUCCCAUUAGCUAGUUGGCGGGGUAAUGGCCCACCAAGGCGACGAUGGGUAGCUGGUCUGAGAGGAUGGUCAGCCACACUGGGACUGAGAUACGGCCCAGACUCCUACGGGAGGCAGCAGUCGAGAGGCUUCGGCAAUGGGGGAAACCCUGACCGAGCGACGCCGCGUGGAGGAUGAAGGCCCUUGGGUUGUAAACUCCUUUUGUUGGGGAAGAAAUGCGAUCAGGUGAACAAUCUGGUCGUUUGACGGUACCCGACGAAUAAGCUCCGGCUAACUCCGUGCCAGCAGCCGCGGUAAAUCGCC